Molecule: ribosomal RNA, 254 nt
Filed under: Platocoelotes strombuliformis
Lineage: Eukaryota; Metazoa; Arthropoda; Arachnida; Araneae; Agelenidae
Description: partial 12S ribosomal RNA
Source: RNAcentral
AUCGAUAAUCCACGUUAAAUUUCACUUUAAUUUAAAACUUAUAUACCGCCAUCUUAAGAAUUAAUUAUAUAAUAUUUCUCUAAAUAAUAUCUAAAAAGUUAGGUCAAGGUAUAAUUUACAUUAAAGAAUAGAUGAAUUACAUUAAACACAAUUUAAAGAUUAUAAAUAAACAUAUUUAUAUAAAUAAGAAUUUAAAAGUAAUAUUCAAAUAAUAUUACAAUAUGAUAUAGAUAAAAAAUGUGUACACAUCGCCC